GUGAAUCAUCGAAUUUUUGAACGCAAAUUGCACUCUCCGCGGUGAGUAUGCGUGUUUGUGGUUCAGCCUAUAAAAAAUCGACAUCGUUGCUGUUUCGCGGUGACGUCCGUCUUAAAUUGGGUCAUCUUAAAUCCUUUUGCUUUAAGCGUCUUAAGAUUUUCUUUUGGUUCCAUGAACGUUUUUAAGAUUUAUUUCUUUACACAUUUAAGGUAUCGAUUUUUACUAGACUUCACCCUCAUAUCGGAUCGCGUCC
RNAcentral lists this unclassified non-coding RNA (253 nucleotides) under Glomus sp. RNAcentral's name for it is "partial internal transcribed spacer 2". Lineage: Eukaryota; Fungi; Glomeromycota; Glomeromycetes; Glomerales; Glomeraceae. The record is from RNAcentral.